GAGACACCCCUCCGGGGCAAGACUUGCUUCAAUGGGGCUUUGGUGCUCACUGGGUCUGCCCCCCGAGUGUGUCCUU
RNAcentral lists this microRNA precursor (76 nucleotides) under Myotis lucifugus (little brown bat). RNAcentral's name for it is "mir-9229 microRNA precursor family". It matches the Rfam family "mir-9229 microRNA precursor family". Lineage: Eukaryota; Metazoa; Chordata; Mammalia; Chiroptera; Vespertilionidae. The record is from Rfam by way of RNAcentral.